This 506-nucleotide ribosomal RNA is filed under the name uncultured Glomeromycotina. Its description in RNAcentral is "partial small subunit ribosomal RNA". It matches the Rfam family "Eukaryotic small subunit ribosomal RNA", at positions 591 to 1092 of the family's 1831-position model. The record is from RNAcentral. Lineage: Eukaryota; Fungi; Glomeromycota.
CCAAUAGCGUAUAUUAAAGUUGUUGCAGUUAAAAAGCUCGUAGUUGAAUUUCGGGAUUGACACAUCGGUCGUGCCUUAAGGGGUAUGAACUGGUGUAGUCAAUUUCUCACCUUCUGGAGAACCGCGAUGCCCUUAAUUGGGUGUCACGGGGAACCAGGACCUUUACUUUGAAAAAAUCAGAGUGUUUAAAGCAGGCAUUUUGCUUGAAUACAUUAGCAUGGAAUAAUAAAAUAGGACGGCAUGAUUCUAUUUUGUUGGUUUCUAGGAUCACCGUAAUGAUUAAUAGGGAUAGUUGGGGGCAUUAGUAUUCAAUUGUCAGAGGUGAAAUUCUUGGAUUUAUUGAAGACUAACUACUGCGAAAGCAUUUGCCAAGGAUGUUUUCAUUAAUCAAGAACGAAAGUUAGGGGAUCGAAGACGAUCAGAUACCGUCGUAGUCUUAACCAUAAACUAUGCCGACUAGGAAUCAGACGAUGUUAAUUUUUUAAUGACUCGUUUGGCACCUUACG